UACGAAGGGGGCUAGCGUUGCUCGGAUUGACUGGGCGUAAAGGGCGCGUAGGCGGUUCGUACAGUCAGACGUGAAAUUCCUGGGCUCAACCUGGGGGCUGCGUUUGAUACGUGUGGACUUGAGUGCGGAAGAGGGUCGUGGAAUUCCCAGUGUAGAGGUGAAAUUCGUAGAUAUUGGGAAGAACACCGGUGGCGAAGGCGGCGACCUGGUCCGACACUGACGCUGAGGCGCGAAAGCGUGGGGAGCAAACAGG
RNAcentral lists this ribosomal RNA (253 nucleotides) under uncultured bacterium. RNAcentral's name for it is "partial 16S ribosomal RNA". It matches the Rfam family "Bacterial small subunit ribosomal RNA", at positions 524 to 776 of the family's 1533-position model. The record is from RNAcentral.